Molecule: non-coding RNA, 2905 nt
Organism: Oryctolagus cuniculus (rabbit)
Lineage: Eukaryota; Metazoa; Chordata; Mammalia; Lagomorpha; Leporidae
Source: RefSeq, a predicted model, not a curated record
CUCUAGAUCUAUUUGAAUCUGCUCCGGAAGUGGAAGAGGAGGAAAAAAAAAAAAAAAAGGAACAACCACAGGCGCAGAGAGAGGAGAGCUCUCCCGAUACCCCACCCCACCCCCACCCCACCCCAGUCACCCCUCCUCCCUGGCAUGGGAGUCAUGGGCACCAGCUGAGGACAAGGUCCCCUCCCUCUGCCUGCCAUAAAUAUUGGCACCGAAGACCCAGAUUCAGAAGGACGGGGCAUUCCAAAGAAAAUAGUUUUGCUUUUAAGUUGCUUUAAAAAUAUACAUAUACGUGUGUGUAUAUGUGUAUUUUUAAAAUUGCACCCGUUUUGGCGUGAGGGCGAAGGCGAGUGCAAGAAGGUGACCGAGCCAGGAGGAGAGAGCGCAGAUGGCUUGGUGGUGGUAUGGUGUGCUCCAUCGGCUGCCAACCUAGGGCCAUCGUCUGCCUCCAUCACCCUUCCGCCCGCCCGCCUACCCACCCAAUCCCAAAUGGGUGCUGAAUCAGAGAUGGGAGGAGGCUCAUGGAAGAGGGCAGCGGCGGGAGUCCCCGUGUUCUGGAAGGAAGGCGCGGACAUGGAGCUGUUGGCAUCACAUCUGUCAGGCUGGUGCCCAGCGCUGGGGCAGUGGGGAAUGGGGGACCCAGGAGGCAGAGAGGAGGGGCAGGAGUGUGUUGCUGGUGUUACUGUCCCUCUGGAAGCUUGGCUUUGAGCAGUGGCGGGAUGAUGAUGUGGCCAGCUCUCUUCCAGCCUGAGGAAGUAGUGUGGUGGAGAGAGUGGCCAGCGGUGUGCCCAGAGGAGUGGGAAAGCCAGGGAGGAGGGACUGUGCCAGCGCUCUCCAGGAAGAACUUGUUUGGGAUGGGGUCUGGCCCUUUGUCAGAGAGUGAUGGGAGACAGCGAGGGGUCUAGGGUGGGAAGUGGGAGGCACUGGCACUGCCCAUGGAGCCUGGCACAGGCUCUGGCAUUGUGUGGGAUACAGGAGGGUGUCAGGGGCUCCUGCCAAUCCGAUUGAGAGGGCUGUUGUGCCAGAAGUGAGAAGGGAGGAGGUGAGAUGCGGUGGGGGUGUUGUUUGGGAGAGCAGACUUCUUUCUGCCAGGACUCCUUCCCAUCCCUCUUAGGCGUGGGGAGAGGAGCAACAGACGGAGAGCGUUGUGAGGACACAAAGGAGGAAGCGCGCCAUUGCCAAGACCCCAACGAAGAAGGAUGGAGAGCGGCUGGCAGUGCUGCCUGGCCCCUAGCCAGUUUCUUGCGGAAGAUGGCCAGCUCCUCUCGCCGGGUCUGCGUGACUGUCUCACAGAGACGGAGGAUCAGAGGGUGAAGGACUGUGUCGUGAAACAUGUCCGGGUGGUGGAGGUCCGGGUGGCCGCGGACCUGUUCCAUGAGCCCUGAGCCUGGAGCAUUGGCUUUGUUGGUUCUUACGGACUCCGCCGGGCGGGAGCAAGCCACUAGGUGUUGCCCGCCGGAGCAGGAGUGCUGCCCCUCAGGACUUCUGGGCUGAGACAGGCACUCAGGAGCAAGGCUUCCAGCUACCAGGAACGAGACACACGAGGGUCAGCCCAUGUCAGCAGUCAGCCAGGCUUGUUUCUCCCUGCUCUCCAGGGUCCCAGGUCUUUCCUCUCGACAGAAGCUGAAUCAGUCCCAGAGUUACUUUCUUCAGCGAUCUUGUGCUACCUGGUAUUCCCAGUGUUCCUAGAAGGGGUGAACUCUGGGAAGACCCUCAGAUUCUGGCCAGAGAGAAGCCACAACUGACUCCCCCUGGCCCGUGGGCACUGUGCGGUUGUCUGGUGCCUUCUAGAUCUAUCUUUGGUUUCAACCAUGUGGAAUACGUGGGAGCUUCCUCAGCCAGUUGAAAGACAACAGCUUGCACGCUGCCUUCUCCUCCCCCAAAAGAUAUAAUAACAUGUGACAGUGCUAAUGUUACUGACGGCUAGUAUGGCACACACAUCAUGCUUUGCGUCAACUAUUCACUCUCACAAGGGCAACCCUAUUUUAUAGAUGAUUCAGGCAGCCAACGAAAGAGGUCAGAUGAGCUGCUGAUGACCACACAGCUCCAAGGUGGCGGAACCAGAAAAGUACCGGCUAGGCACAGGGUUCUCCCCACGCGGUGGCCUGGGCCCCUCCUCCUGCCAGACCGUCCCUCAGACCCAAUACAGGCAAACAGGAGCCUUGCCAGGCCUGGAAGUCAGGAUUCCUGGUUGCCUGCCACUGACCAGAAGCACCAAGUCUCCCAGCUACUCCCCAGAUUUCCCCAGGCCUCCAUACCUUACCACUCCCAGGUGCCAACAGCCCAUCUACCUCCUUCCCAGCUCUCCCCAGGCCCUAACAGCAGCUGGCCAAUGAGCACACUUCCGGAGUUCUGUCCAGAGGGCUUCAGGGAAGGGUGGAGGGCACGGCUUCACUUUCCUUGGGCCACCUCCAGAUUUCUGGUUUGGGAAUGGGUUCCUGGGUCUGGUCCCAAGCAGCCUGCAGGCCCCUAUUCCCUUCCCUCCUCCAGGGGGUCCAGCCAGGCGUGAAGUCAUAGCCAUUAAGAAGCUCCAGAGGGGCUGGAUUAGCAUGCUAAUGAAAAUGCAAAUCAGUACCUGGGUGGAGGGAAUGGAGAGGUGGGGGGAACUGGAGAAUCCAAAGGGAAGUGAAGGAAUUGGACAGAGAGGACCAGAGAGAGAGAGAGAGAGAGAGAGAGAGAGACUCUCCAGGUGUGGGAGAGAUUGCUCUCACAGAAGCCCUGGUGGGAAGGUACACGGGUUCGUGAGGGUCUGAUGUUCCACUCAAUCCUAGAAGCUGGGGCCCUACCAUCUUUCACUACCCUACCUGGUGGGAAGAAACCACCUGGCCAGAGGAGCCCGUGUGGGUCCUGCCACUGAGUGGGUGCAGCUGGACACGAGUGGGUGUGGGUGCAGUCUCCCAGCUGGCCA